UUAAGCGACUAAGCGUACACGGUGGAUGCCCUGGCAGUCAGAGGCGAUGAAGGACGUGCUAAUCUGCGAUAAGCGUCGGUAAGGUGAUAUGAACCGUUAUAACCGGCGAUUUCCGAAUGGGGAAACCCAGUGUGAUUCGUCACACUAUCAUUAACUGAAUCCAUAGGUUAAUGAGGCGAACCGGGGGAACUGAAACAUCUAAGUACCCCGAGGAAAAGAAAUCAACCGAGAUUCCCCCAGUAGCGGCGAGCGAACGGGGAGCAGCCCAGAGCCUGAAUCAGUGUGUGUGUUAGUGGAAGCGUCUGGAAAGGCGCGCGAUACAGGGUGACAGCCCCGUACACAAAAAUGCACAUGCUGUGAGCUCGAUGAGUAGGGCGGGACACGUGGUAUCCUGUCUGAAUAUGGGGGGACCAUCCUCCAAGGCUAAAUACUCCUGACUGACCGAUAGUGAACCAGUACCGUGAGGGAAAGGCGAAAAGAACCCCGGCGAGGGGAGUGAAAAAGAACCUGAAACCGUGUACGUACAAGCAGUGGGAGCACGCUUAGGCGUGUGACUGCGUACCUUUUGUAUAAUGGGUCAGCGACUUAUAUUCUGUAGCAAGGUUAACCGAAUAGGGGAGCCGAAGGGAAACCGAGUCUUAACUGGGCGUUAAGUUGCAGGGUAUAGACCCGAAACCCGGUGAUCUAGCCAUGGGCAGGUUGAAGGUUGGGUAACACUAACUGGAGGACCGAACCGACUAAUGUUGAAAAAUUAGCGGAUGACUUGUGGCUGGGGGUGAAAGGCCAAUCAAACCGGGAGAUAGCUGGUUCUCCCCGAAAGCUAUUUAGGUAGCGCCUCGUGAAUUCAUCUCCGGGGGUAGAGCACUGUUUCGGCAAGGGGGUCAUCCCGACUUACCAACCCGAUGCAAACUGCGAAUACCGGAGAAUGUUAUCACGGGAGACACACGGCGGGUGCUAACGUCCGUCGUGAAGAGGGAAACAACCCAGACCGCCAGCUAAGGUCCCAAAGUCAUGGUUAAGUGGGAAACGAUGUGGGAAGGCCCAGACAGCCAGGAUGUUGGCUUAGAAGCAGCCAUCAUUUAAAGAAAGCGUAAUAGCUCACUGGUCGAGUCGGCCUGCGCGGAAGAUGUAACGGGGCUAAACCAUGCACCGAAGCUGCGGCAGCGACGCUUAUGCGUUGUUGGGUAGGGGAGCGUUCUGUAAGCCUGUGAAGGUGUGCUGUGAGGCAUGCUGGAGGUAUCAGAAGUGCGAAUGCUGACAUAAGUAACGAUAAAGCGGGUGAAAAGCCCGCUCGCCGGAAGACCAAGGGUUCCUGUCCAACGUUAAUCGGGGCAGGGUGAGUCGACCCCUAAGGCGAGGCCGAAAGGCGUAGUCGAUGGGAAACAGGUUAAUAUUCCUGUACUUGGUGUUACUGCGAAGGGGGGACGGAGAAGGCUAUGUUGGCCGGGCGACGGUUGUCCCGGUUUAAGCGUGUAGGCUGGUUUUCCAGGCAAAUCCGGAAAAUCAAGGCUGAGGCGUGAUGACGAGGCACUACGGUGCUGAAGCAACAAAUGCCCUGCUUCCAGGAAAAGCCUCUAAGCAUCAGGUAACAUCAAAUCGUACCCCAAACCGACACAGGUGGUCAGGUAGAGAAUACCAAGGCGCUUGAGAGAACUCGGGUGAAGGAACUAGGCAAAAUGGUGCCGUAACUUCGGGAGAAGGCACGCUGAUAUGUAGGUGAAGUCCCUCGCGGAUGGAGCUGAAAUCAGUCGAAGAUACCAGCUGGCUGCAACUGUUUAUUAAAAACACAGCACUGUGCAAACACGAAAGUGGACGUAUACGGUGUGACGCCUGCCCGGUGCCGGAAGGUUAAUUGAUGGGGUUAGCGCAAGCGAAGCUCUUGAUCGAAGCCCCGGUAAACGGCGGCCGUAACUAUAACGGUCCUAAGGUAGCGAAAUUCCUUGUCGGGUAAGUUCCGACCUGCACGAAUGGCGUAAUGAUGGCCAGGCUGUCUCCACCCGAGACUCAGUGAAAUUGAACUCGCUGUGAAGAUGCAGUGUACCCGCGGCAAGACGGAAAGACCCCGUGAACCUUUACUAUAGCUUGACACUGAACAUUGAGCCUUGAUGUGUAGGAUAGGUGGGAGGCUUUGAAGUGUGGACGCCAGUCUGCAUGGAGCCGACCUUGAAAUACCACCCUUUAAUGUUUGAUGUUCUAACGUUGACCCGUAAUCCGGGUUGCGGACAGUGUCUGGUGGGUAGUUUGACUGGGGCGGUCUCCUCCUAAAGAGUAACGGAGGAGCACGAAGGUUGGCUAAUCCUGGUCGGACAUCAGGAGGUUAGUGCAAUGGCAUAAGCCAGCUUGACUGCGAGCGUGACGGCGCGAGCAGGUGCGAAAGCAGGUCAUAGUGAUCCGGUGGUUCUGAAUGGAAGGGCCAUCGCUCAACGGAUAAAAGGUACUCCGGGGAUAACAGGCUGAUACCGCCCAAGAGUUCAUAUCGACGGCGGUGUUUGGCACCUCGAUGUCGGCUCAUCACAUCCUGGGGCUGAAGUAGGUCCCAAGGGUAUGGCUGUUCGCCAUUUAAAGUGGUACGCGAGCUGGGUUUAGAACGUCGUGAGACAGUUCGGUCCCUAUCUGCCGUGGGCGCUGGAGAACUGAGGGGGGCUGCUCCUAGUACGAGAGGACCGGAGUGGACGCAUCACUGGUGUUCGGGUUGUCAUGCCAAUGGCACUGCCCGGUAGCUAAAUGCGGAAGAGAUAAGUGCUGAAAGCAUCUAAGCACGAAACUUGCCCCGAGAUGAGUUCUCCCUGACCCUUUAAGGGUCCUGAAGGAACGUUGAAGACGACGACGUUGAUAGGCCGGGUGUGUAAGCGCAGCGAUGCGUUGAGCUAACCGGUACUAAUGAACCGUGAGGCUUAACCUU
RNAcentral lists this ribosomal RNA (2902 nucleotides) under Escherichia coli. Its description in RNAcentral is "23S ribosomal RNA". It matches the Rfam family "Bacterial large subunit ribosomal RNA". The record is from RNAcentral. Lineage: Bacteria; Pseudomonadati; Pseudomonadota; Gammaproteobacteria; Enterobacterales; Enterobacteriaceae.